Molecule: transfer RNA, 85 nt
Filed under: Felis catus (domestic cat)
Lineage: Eukaryota; Metazoa; Chordata; Mammalia; Carnivora; Felidae
Rfam family: tRNA
About the family: Transfer RNA (tRNA) molecules are approximately 80 nucleotides in length. Their secondary structure includes four short double-helical elements and three loops (D, anti-codon, and T loops).
Source: Rfam by way of RNAcentral
GCCUGGGUGGCUCAGUCAGUUGAGCGUCUGACUUCGGCUCAGGUCAUGAUCUCAUGGUCCGUGAGUUCGAGCCCCGCGUCGGGCU